AAGUUAUUAAAUUAUAAAUUUGGGUUUCUUUAAUUUUAAGAGACUCUUAUUAAAAACUCAGGGUUUCGGGCAAGUUCAGGUUCAAAAGAAUAUUAAUCAGUUUCGACAAAAAAUUCAUUUAAUUAAACACAAAAUCAAAUUAACUCGUUUUAUGAGUAACAAAAAAAAUGGUUUUCCUAAAUCUACUUUAAUAACAAUGCUUAUUUAUGAGAGAUAAAUUUUUAAAUAAAAUAGAUAACUGCGGUUAUCGACUGAAAUAUCGAUAUUAGAGAGAACCCGUUUAUUAUUUGAGAGAGAGAGAGAGUAGGAUAAAACCAAGGUUUAUAUAUAAGUUAAUAUAUAAACCUUGGGAUAAAACUCGUUAGAACCGUUCUUUGAAAAUAACAAAUGGCCGAUGUUUUAAAUUGUCAUCAAACUCGUUGAAGAAAAUAGAAUGAAAUAAAUGAACGUUAUUCAAGAAAACUAAUAAAUCUUUACCCACAAGUUAUGUUAAAUAAUAAAAUAAAAUUAUCAUCCGACUCACUGUGAAAUAUAAAGGAUUGGAGUUCAAUGUGGUAUCUGGAUUAUGGAUUGUCUCUUGUGUUCGGGGCACUAACUAAUUUUCUGGAUGGUCUACAGGAUUCUUCUUACGGGAAAUUGAACUGUUUGUUCUUCGGAAAUAGGGUCUUGGAUGAUCUCGAAGAAGUAUCGGUAGUUCUCGGAAUAGGUUGUAGGAUAUUUCUCUUUUUAUUUUAAUCUUACAUACAUUGGAGUACACGCCAAAUUUCAACAAUGAGUAAAGUUAGAAAAAUUCAAAUUUAAAUCAAGGAUUUCUUCCUCAAAAUAACGUUAAAACCUCAAAAGAUGGAUGAAAAAUGUGCUUUAGGAGCUGAACUAUAAUAAUUCAUACAUUUGGAAGUAAACAAAACGGUUUAAGAUAAGAUUUUCACCAACAAAAAAUCUCUCUGUCACAAAUUCUAGGUUAUGUUCUCUCGGUGAACUAAGAGAAUGUUAAAAUUAUCACAAUACAUAUGUGUUUAACUCUGUUUAUGAGAAAUGUAUAUUUAAUCUUAACUGGUACUAAAAUCGUACAAAUUAAAUAUUUUUCGAUAUCUUUUAAAAUGCUGAUUGCACAAUUUACACAAUUGUUAUUAUUGUCAAAAUCAGUUCAAAUUUCAAAGAAAGACGUUAGCGUUACCAAUCUACGACACAAAUUACUUGAUAUGAGGAAAAAGUACUACCAACCGAGUCUUAUUUAGCCGAUAGUAAUCCUCCCGACAAAAACAGAUUGUACAACAGCGAAUAUUCUUAUCCUCCGGAUAAGUUUAUUGGCCGGAUAGUUAUCAGACAGAUUAAGGUCCAUUACUACCAUCUUUUAGUCAAAUUUAUCUUAUAGAUAAACCCAUCUGCU
Molecule: non-coding RNA, 1390 nt
Organism: Onthophagus taurus
Lineage: Eukaryota; Metazoa; Arthropoda; Insecta; Coleoptera; Scarabaeidae
Source: RefSeq, a predicted model, not a curated record